Molecule: ribosomal RNA, 699 nt
Filed under: uncultured bacterium
Lineage: Bacteria
Description: bacterial SSU rRNA
Rfam family: Bacterial small subunit ribosomal RNA
Source: RNAcentral
AGAGUUUGAUCCUGGCUCAGGAUGAACGCUAGCGGCAGGCCUAAUACAUGCAAGUCGAGGGGUAACAGGGGACUUCGGUUCCGCUGACGACCGGCGCACGGGUGAGUAACGCGUAUGCAACCUACCCUACAGAGGAGGAUAGCCUCGAGAAAUUGAGAUUAAUACUCCAUACGAUAUUGAUAUCACCUGGUAUUAAUAUGAAAGAUUUAUCACUGUGGGAUGGGCAUGCGUGACAUUAGCUUGAUGGUGAGGUAACGGCUCACCAUGGCAACGAUGUCUAGCUGGUCUGAGAGGAUGAUCAGCCACACUGGCACUGAGACACGGGCCAGACUCCUACGGGAGGCAGCAGUAGGGAAUAUUGGUCAAUGGGGGCAACCCUGAACCAGCCAUGCCGCGUGGAGGAAGACUGCCCUCUGGGUUGUAAACUCCUUUUAGCAGGGGCUAAACCUGGGCUAUAUGCCCAGCUGAAGGUACCUGCAGAAUAAGCACCGGCUAACUCCGUGCCAGCAGCCGCGGUAAUACGGAGGGUGCAAGCGUUGUCCGGAUUUAUUGGGUUUAAAGGGUGCGUAGGCGGAAGAAUAAGUCAGUGGUGAAAUCCUGCGGCUCAACCGUAGAACUGCCAUUGAUACUGUUUUUCUUGAGUAAGGUCGAGGUGGUUGGAAUACGUAGUGUAGCGGUGAAAUGCAUAGAUAUUACGUA